GAUGAUAAAUAAACAAAAAAGAAAAGAAACGAAAAAGAAAGCAAAAAGCAACAGCCCCGUUUGUGGGCCUCCAUAGCCCAGGCGCAAGGCCCAGCCCCCCCUUCGGUCGUCUUCUUCCUCGCGCAGUUGCAGUGCACGCGCAGGGGGCGCGAUGCCGGAGUGGAGGGGAGGAGCAGCAACGACGCACGUGGAGCAGGGGGCAGCUGGCGUCGGAUGGGAUGCCGGUUCGGCCGGCGAAGGCCGUGGCAGCCGUCGGUCGAGCUCCGUCGACCGGCCACCCCUCGGCCUAUAAAUAGGCCCUCCAUCCCCGACGAAGAGGACACACAGAGAGAGGGAGGGAGAGGGAGAGAGGCCACCGGAGCUCGGGGUCCCCUGAGAGACUUCGGGGAGCUCGAGUCUGGGCCGGUCUUGGUGUGGUGAGCUCGGAGGGGUCCCCGAGAGACUUCGGGGAGCUCGAAGGGUGAGCCCGAGGGAGAGAGAGCGAGCCCCGGCCAGAUCCGACCAGGAUCAGGCCUCGCCGUCACCGUCGUCCCUCGCCGCGACCUCCACCGUCACAGAUCAAACCCCCAGCUUCGUCGUUGCUCGCCGUGGUCGCUGCCGUCGUAGAUCAGCCCCUGCCGUGGCCGUCACCGCCUUCGUUCAAGAGAAGGUAAAAAAGGCCGUUGCCGUUGUCCCUGCCGUCCAUCGCGAUCCCAUUCCGUCGCCGUCGCCGUCGCCAUCGUCGUGGUCCCCAUCGUCGUUGCAAUCACCGCCGUGGCCGUCGUCGCCGCAGGAUCGCUUCGGUCUCCUCUCCGGCGCCGCGGAUUCGCAAACCCUAGGGUUUGCGAUUUUCCGGGUCGCGAAGCGGAUCCGGACCCGGAAAAUCGGGUAGGGUUUGCAAUCCGGGGGGGCGGCUGCGAGUCGGGUCGUGGGGUCGGAUCCGGGUCGGGUAGGGUUCGCGGGGAGUCGGGUCGCGGAGCGGGCUGUCGGGCCGGGUCAUCGGGCCGGGCUGGAUCCCUCCCAAACGACAGGCCACAGCGUCGUUUUAACUGAACCAAAAAAUAAAAAAAGGAAAAAAUCUGAGUCGGGCCCGCAACGCGGGCCCGUCCUCAUUCGGAUCGCUGGCUCGGGUCGGACCCAACCCGCGGAUCCGACCCGAGUCAGUUUUUAUAUUAUUUUAAUAUAAAAUAAUAUUUUUAAUAACUAAAUAAAUAAUAAAUAUUUUAUUUUCGAAAAAAUAAAAAAAAUCAAAAAAUGUUUUAUUUAAAAUGUUUAAAAAAUGUUUUAUUUUCAAAAAAAUCGAGAAAAAUCAAAAAAUAAUUUAUUUUCUAAAAAUAUUUUUUAAAAAAUAUAAAAAAAAUUAUUUUCCGAAAAAUAAAAAAAUCAAAAAUAUUUCAUAUUUUCCAAAAAAAGCCAAAAAAUAAAAAAAAGCCAAAAAUUCGUGAAAUGGCCAAAAAAUUCAGAAAAAGCCAAAAAGACUUGUAUUUUUUCCAAAAAAUACCAAAAGCCCCCGAAAAAUCCCUUUUGUGUCCCAAAAAUUAGAAAAUGACUCAAAAAAUAUUUUUCCUCCCAAAAAUACAUGGAAAAUCCCUCGAACAUCCAAAAAAUCUUAGGGUUUAAACAAGGUUAGGUACCGAAAGGGCAUUAGUGAUUAACUAGUGUAAUCAAGUCCCCGAUCCUAAUUUCUCUGGUUGCGCAGGAGUGAGUAUUUCUCCCGAUACUUCACUUGGGUUUCUAAUCAACCCACCCCAAAUCAAUUAGUGGCGACUCCAAUUUAAAAAUUAAUUUACAGGUUAAAAACUCAGACCAUUAAGUCGUGAAUUGGUGGACUUGAGAGAGUCCGGGCAUAAUUAAAAUUAGCCGAGCCAUUAGCCUCCUUAGGCGCUCGUACCCGAUUGCGGGCGCCGAGAAAAAAG
RNAcentral lists this long non-coding RNA (1895 nucleotides) under Eucalyptus grandis. Its description in RNAcentral is "long non-coding RNA (EGRA_LNC005985)". The record is from RNAcentral. Lineage: Eukaryota; Viridiplantae; Streptophyta; Magnoliopsida; Myrtales; Myrtaceae.